This 693-nucleotide ribosomal RNA is filed under the name Fomitopsis juniperina. RNAcentral describes it as "eukaryotic LSU rRNA". The stretch from base 274 to 427 matches the Rfam family "5.8S ribosomal RNA". Lineage: Eukaryota; Fungi; Basidiomycota; Agaricomycetes; Polyporales; Fomitopsidaceae. The record is from RNAcentral.
UAGAGGAAGUAAAAGUCGUAACAAGGUUUCCGUAGGUGAACCUGCGGAAGGAUCAUUAUUGAAUUUUGAAAGGGGUUGUAGCUGGCCUUUUCGUUUGAGAGGCAUUUUGUGCACGCCCUGAUCAUCAUCCAUUUUCACACCUGUGCACAUUCUGUAGGUCGGUUUUUUGGGGGCGAGGGUCUUUAUUGGCUUUUGCUCCUUGGGCCUUCCUAUGUUUUAUUAURAAACUACAAGUUUAAAAGGAUGUCUAUUGCAUAUAAUGCAUCUAUAUACAACUUUCAGCAACGGAUCUCUUGGCUCUCGCAUCGAUGAAGAACGCAGCGAAAUGCGAUAAGUAAUGUGAAUUGCAGAAUUCAGUGAAUCAUCGAAUCUUUGAACGCACCUUGCGCUCCUUGGUAUUCCGAAGAGCAUGCCUGUUUGAGUGUCAUGGAAUUCUCAACUCUAUUUGCUUUUUUUUGUGAAUAGAGCUUGGACUUGGAGGUUUAUUGCUGGAUACUGUGAUGUGUUCAGCUCCUCUUGAAUGCAUUAGCUUGGACCUUUUGUGGAUCAGCUUAUCGGUGUGAUAAUUGUCUACGCCGUUCUGUGAAGCAUUCUAUCUAUGGGUUUCAGCUUCUAAUAGUCCUUUGUUGGACAAAUACAUUUGACCUUUGACCUCAAAUCAGGUAGGGUUACCCGCUGAACUUAAGCAUAUCA